RNAcentral lists this long non-coding RNA (758 nucleotides) under Salvia miltiorrhiza (redroot sage). RNAcentral describes it as "long non-coding RNA (SMIL_LNC012925)". Lineage: Eukaryota; Viridiplantae; Streptophyta; Magnoliopsida; Lamiales; Lamiaceae. The record is from RNAcentral.
AACGUCAUCGCUCAAGAGUGGAAAAAACACCCUCAAAGAUUCUGCAUUCAUGGCCUCAUCACCAUUACCCACCAGCCAAAAACUAAUCAAAUCAACGAGCGGCUGUUCAAACCCUCCAACCCAUCAAAAUUUUGAUCAAACACUAUAACAGACAUUUAUGUAACCUAAAACAGAGUCCACUAAACUUUUGAUUUCUCCACAUAUUUUCCUCUCUUUCUUGGACCCCAACUAAAAGCUCUUCAAAUCAAGGAAGGGGGGGUUUGGGUUGGGCUCGGCGGCGGUUGCCUUCCGGAUGUGCGGUCGUCGGGAAUCAACGGGCAAGAGGCCACGAUUUGGAGAUCUAGGGUAUUGGUGGCGAAGGUGGUGGUGGUGCCCUCGUUUUCUCAUUCCCAACCACCGCCGCCACUGGUGCCGAUGAGGAAUGGAUGGUGGAGGUGGCGGUUGAGUGGAGGUGAAAAGGGGGAGGCGUUCAGAUCUGGAAGGGGUUGAUGUCGGAGAGGUGUUCCUCGCCGGAGAAGCAGGGGGCGGCUCCAAAUCUGGAAGGGUGGAAGUGGCAGAGCUGUCACCGGAAAUCAAGGGAAAGAGGUGGUGGAUUCAGGGAUCUAGGGUGUGUGCGACUGCGAUGACAGUGCGCGACGGUAGUGUUUGAUUUGUGCGUGUGUUACAGAGGGAGGAUGAGAGGCGAGAGAAGGGAGAAGCGACAAGGUGGUUCUUGGAAAGCCGGCAACGCCGGUGAGGAAGAAGGAGGUGGCGCCUCC